UUUCUGCAAAAGGUAUCUGUAGCUUUAUUUAGAGAACGUUCUGAGGUCAGGAUAACAAAACAGUCAUUAUAUAGUUCUUGCUUACUUACGCACAUGCAUUUACACACAAUCCGUUGGUGACCUGCAUCCCCCAUAAACUUCUCACACUGUUUAUCACUACCCAGAGCUCAGCCUGUUCUUUUCCCUCAAGGUUAGGAACUCUUUGAAGCUUUUACUCCCUUGACCAUCUGUCUCCUGGUGUCCCUCCUAAUUGCAUACACACAUUUCUUUCCCUCUCCAGUGGUUCCUGGACUUUCCGGAACUAAUCAGACUAAUCGAUCCCUAUCUUGAUCAUUACAUUGAUUAUUCAUUAAACCUGCUGUAUGACUAAUAAUUCAUCAUGGUUUAUUGAUUCAUUUACAUUUAUUAGAUAAUUCUCUUAUCAAUUCCACCCUUAAAUGAUUCAAUAAUUCACCAUGAUGAUCAGAUGCUAUAUGAGAACCCUACUAAUCAUAUGCUAUAUGUAAAUACAAUAAUCCUACGCUAUAUGGAAAUACAUAAUUGUGAAAUCACACGCUAUAUGGGAUUUAAUUGUGAUACAAUGAUUAAACAAAACCAAUACAUAAUUAUUCCUCCUAUACCCAUCAAUGACAGUCCUAGGCCUCUUUCCAAUUAUGACACUUCGAUUCAGGAUUUUCAUCAUAAUUUUCAUUAAAGGAACAGUCUAUCAAAACGUUGAAAAUUCAAACAAAACGUUGAAAAUUGUUUCAUCAAACAUUGGCUCCUCGUUAUCGAAAGAAACGGAGCCAUCUUCCUGGCCUGGAGGCCCGCAUUCGCCAUCCCACUGAUCGGAGCUCGGAAUCGGUCCAUAUCUCACCAACUGCUGCGUCAUCGAUCUCUCGAGAGUCCUGGUGAUUAAACCUCUCACACAUGGGACAAGACAACAUCCACACAACACAAACACACUCAUACAGGUGAAAGCAGCCCAUAAUACAGUUCUUACAACACUUUUCCAUUUCCCCAAACAUGGGAUAUGUUAUCAGGAAUGUACGUGUAGCGCUGAACCUAAUCAUUCUACCUACACUGCCCUCUUCUGCCAAUAACAUAUCGAGAGUCAGUCUAUUUUACCAGGUCAUGAGGGGGGUGGCGGAUAAUUGGUCAGAGAACAUCUUUACUGCAUCCCCGUUUUCAUUCAUGAAUCUCUGUUGAUUAUAAAAGAUGUCAUUAAUCCCAUCCACAUUUUUAUCUAUUGUCAACCACCAAAAUAAUGUAGUGUUAAAGCCUUCACAUAUUUGAUUCAUAGCUUUGUAUUCAUCUGGAACUUCCCUGAAGAUGCCAAUAGCAUCUAUCUAGACAAAGCUACUCCCAUCCUGGUCAAAACUACUCCUGUGCCUACUUUAGCCUCCUAUAACUGGCCUCUGAUGACUAACUCGAACUGGUUGGACCAAUAACCCCAGGGCGCAAGUUUCUAACCACCCUUUGUGGUAAUUUCUGUCGUAUGCGUCCUUUACUGGUACUAGCCCACCCUUCAUCAGUUAUAGGUGCUGUGAGGUUAAGAAUGUUCUAUUCAUCUCUCAAACCUAAGUCAGUCACAUUAACGAUUACUUUCAGCCAUUAAAAUCAUCUUAGUUCUCGGUGCCAUUCUUGUAUCUAUAACACUGGUAUUCAUCCGGAAUUUAGGUGAACCGAGGUGGGUUGGCUGAGUACUUCAAUCUGGCCAACCCCAAUUCCUGUACAGUUGUCUGCUUCCCCAGGAAUUUGUUUAAUGUUUACCUUAAAUUCUACAUCUUGAUCUUCUUUGAUUCCUUAUUCUGUAUGUCACUCAUCAGUGUAUUGUAUAGUUUAUCUUCUACUUCUUCUCAAUGACAACGGUAUCCUAUGAUUAGUACCAGAAGGUGGUGGAUCUGAAUGUAUCAGAAAGGUUACCAAAACUAUGAUGCAGCUCAGAGUCUCUACUCUUCCCAAAAACCGCCAACCCUCUCCUGCCCUUAGUCGAUCUGCUAGGUACCACCCCAUACUCACACCUCUAGGAGCACACACAGUGAUGAACGGUCGGGAUAGGAAAUCUUCGUUAAGGAGGUAACCCCCGGACCCUGUUGGUAUCGGUUCUUCUCCUAACUCUGUGUGUGAUCAGCAGGGUUCAUAUGUGUACAUACCUCCUUGCAGUGAGUAACGUGGACCCAAGUGACUCUUUCAGCUUUUCUAAUGGCAAAGGCAGUGGUUUAACAGAACCUGGUAUGGGCCUUCCCAACGGGGCUGCUUCCAGUUUUUUCUCCUCAGGGACUGGAUCCACACCCAGUCUCCUGGUUGGAUUGAGUGAAUCACCUUCUCCUGUAAUUCACCUGUUGGACACAAAAUCUUGGACAUACGGGUUUGGUUAACAAACAGUCUUCUCAUGUGCUCUGCUAGUAUUUCUUCAACUUCCAUGUCUACCUGUUCUGGUAUCUCUAACUCUGGCAUUCUAUAGGCUCUACCUGAUUAGCUAAACUGUCAUCCAUCAUUUAAAGAGAUGGCGCCUAGUAAACCAACUCUAGGGAUAAUAUCUGGACUUAAUAUUUUAGCUACCAUAAUCAUGUCCACCAAGUAAGUUGGGAACGCUUCUACCCAUUUGCUAUACUUAUCUAUUCUUGUUAAACACCCCUUCUUCCCCUCAAUUCGGAAUAGUUCAAUAAGUCCAAUUCCAAAUGUUGGAAUGGAUCUUCUUACAAUUUUUUAUUUUUUAUUUAACCUGUUUAGGAUAGGGGGCAGUAUUGACACGGCUGGAUAAAAAACAUACCCGAUUUAAUCUGGUUACCACUCCUACCCAGUAACUAGAAUAUGCAUAUACUUAUUACAUAUGGAUAGAAAACACCCUAAAUUUUCUAAAACUGUUUGAAUGGUGUCUGUGAGUAUAACAGAACUCAAAUGGCAGGUCAAAACCUGAGAGAUUCCUUUACAGGAAGUGGCCUGUCUGACCAUUUCUUGAACUUCUUUUCCAUCUCUAUCAUUUACUAAGGAUCUCUGCUCUAACGUGACACUUCCCACGUUGUCCAUAGGCGCUCAGAGCCCGGGAAAAAACAGAAUGUCGUCAUUCCAGCCCCAGGCUGAAACACAUUAUCGCCUUUCUCAAGUGGCCGAUCAAGGGACACUGUGCUUAUGCGCGUGACCCCGACCGCCCCCGCCUUUGGGAUUUUUUCCUCUGUUUGCCGAAAAGGAGAUUCCCUGUCGGAAUAUUAUCGCUUUUCUACGAGAAAAAUGUCGUAAAAAUUGAUUUUAAACAGCGGUUGACAUGCUUCGAAGUACGGUAAUGUGGGUGUCUAAAUAGCGAGCCCGUGAUGCCUGGGCUAUGUACUUAGAAUAUUGCAAAAUGUGCUUUCACCAAAAAGCUAUUUUAAAAUCGGACAUAUCGAGUGCAUAGAGGAGGUCUGUAUCUAUAAUUCUUAAAAUAAUUGUUAUGCUUUUUGUGAACGUUUAUCGUGAGUAAUUUAGUAAAAUGUUAGCGAAUUCCCCGGAAGUUUGCGGGGGGUAUGCUAGUUCUGAACGUCACAUGCUAAUGUAAAAAGCUGGUUUUUGAUAUAAAUAUGAACUUGAUUGAACAAAACAUGCAUGUAUUGUAUAACAUAAUGUCCUAGGGUUGUCAUCUGAUGAAGAUCAUCAAAGGUGAGUGCUGCAUUUAGCUGUCUUCUGGGUUUUGGUGACAUUAUAUGCUGGCUUGAAAAAUGGGUGUCUGAUUAUUUCUGGCUUGGUACUCUGCUGACAUAAUCUAAUGUUUUGCUUUCGUUGUAAAGCCUUUUUGAAAUCGGACAGUGUGGUUAGAUUAACGAGAGUCUUGUCUUUAAAUGGCUGUAAAAUAGUCAUAUGUUUGAGAAAUUGAAGUAAUAGGAUUUUUAAGGUUUUGAAAAUCGCGCCACAGGCUGGCAGUGGCUGUUACGUAGGUGGGACGAAUUCGUCCCGCCUAGCCUAGAGAGGUUAAGUAAUUAUCCUCUAGGCCAUCACUCUUUCCUAACUACUCUACUAUACUUCCCUCCCCUUGAUACAUUGCUUAGCCUAUGUAUCAAUAUUGCUGCGUAUCCAUAUAAUGUCUUUGGUAGGAUAAGUAAAUAAUCCUUCUGUCAGACCUUCUCUUAUAGGAUGCCCCCUUUCAUUUUCCACAUGUCCAAUUCUCCCUGGGGCCUUCAUCCUCGGCUAUUCUGUAACAAUUCUCUGUCAAGUGUUUUAUCCUCUUUAAGAUUUAUCUAUGCAGCUUUGUAUGGUUUUAAAUGUUCAUGUGCUUGUCUGUGUAAAUAGUAACUUUUCUCUCCUUUCUUAUUUCACCGGUUCUAGUCAAUGCUACUAUUUCGGCCUACUGUGCAGAAUAGUGUCUGGGCAAUGGUUCAGUGUCUAACACCUGAAACCUACUAAGCCCUUUUAGUUAGGGUAACAAUUACUUUCAACAAAAUGAUACUAAUUUUCUCCUAGCGAAUUUACCAGACAUAAACUUAAAAUCAAAACUAAAAUGCAUGCCUGCCAAUGGAGCCGUUAGUCUCUCCAUGAAUUAAUUUCCUAGAGCUUAGUGAACCAAAUUCUCUUCCUAUCUACUCCUGCUGGCCCCCCUCCUUUCUUCCUGCUACUCCCCAACCCUCAAGGUUUCAGCAGUGCAGGGGAGGAUCUCUCUGUCUGCCCUUCUAUCUGUCUCCAGCUUUUUCUCAUAAUAUGGUUGUUUCCAAAUAUUGACUAAAUGUCUCAUUGUCUCCUUGGUUGCACUCCUGAACUUUUUGAAAAAUCAACCUCUCUAGAUAUUGCAUAUCUACUUAAAUUUAUCUCGAUACCCUCAAUAAUCCUGGAUCACCUACAGAUGUCAUAUAUCCCUGUCCUGUUGACAUAAGUCUAUCAUUAUUAAACUUAUUCACAACAAAAUAUAGUAAUACUAGUAUAUCAAUUCCACAGCCUUGUUGUGUUAAAUCUCUUACACUGAAUUCAACAACAGCUGACUUCCUAAGGGAAAAUAAACGUAUCUAGAUCAUGUAAAAAAAAUACCCCUGCUACUGGUCAAAAUAUUUUCAAAUCACAUAAUCAGAUCAAAAUGACUAAUCUGAUUUACUCCACCAAGAAAAAUUAUUUUACCUUUAUUGUUCUAGGAAAAUAGACUUAAGGAAGCCUACCCUUAGUCUAAGGCUUUGCCCUUUUAGUCCUAUCAUUGGUUCAAAUUAUCAAUUGUGUCUAAGAGCUUUAACUCCAUCAUAAUAUCACCAAUGACCUUAAAUUCACCAUCCAAAUGGCUUUUCAAUGUGGCUGAUCAGACCACACAGGAAAAGUCACCAGAUGUCAAAAGUCAUACCACCCUUUCAGAACCGUGUUUCUUACUACAUUAAACAAAUUAAGGCUUAGAACUUCAUCUACAUUUUGUAUCCCAGGUUCCCAGAACAUUCCCUAUCAAAAGAAUUUCAUGUGUUUAUUAAAACUCAGAAAACAAAACUUCCAAAAUGCCAUGUGUGUAUACCCCUUUAAGAUAUCAUGUCCCUAGGAUUUUUUUAUUUAUUUAUUUUCCCAAAGAGAGCUAAGCGCUUCUUUUUCCAUAAAAUAACCACUUGGUCAGCAUUUCAUCCUACCACCCUGAUUCAAAAACCCCAAAGUUGACUAUAAACAAAACCUAAUAAUACUUAUAAUUCCAUUGUACUCCCUCCAAUCAUUAGUUUUAAACUUCCUCAAUGGUUUAUGUGAUUGAACAUGCCUUUCUGUGGGCGCCUGACCUUUUUCUCUCUGUAUUUGUCUCGACCCCCUCUCUGACAUCUCCUGUCUUUGUUAUUUUUGCAAUCUCGGUGAUUAUGGCCUACUUUAUUGCAGUGUUUACACGGCUCCUCACAUUCUCUAGCAAAAUGUCCUGUCUCGCCACAAUUGUAACAUCUAUUUCCCCCUUUCUCUCCUGCCUUGCUAUUUUUUCCUCUUUUGUCACCUCUACCAUUCCCUGCAAUCUCUCCUAGAGUGGCCAUCAGAUAUUCUGCUCCUUUCCUUUCCUUCUUCUCUUUCUCCCCUUUGCCAAGUUGCUCAUAGUGUACAGCAUAUCUCUUUACUUCCCUCAGAUCUGCUAGCCCCCACCCUACGAGGUUCUGUUUAAUGGCGCGGUUUCGACCUAUUUUAUUGCAGUGUUUACACAGAACCUCACAUUCUCUAGCAAAAUGACCCGGUUUGUUACAGUUAAAGCAUCCAUCUCCCCCUUUCUUUUGUCUAUUCCUAUCCGGACUUUGGUUAUGGUAAACGAGUCUACUGAGGGCUCUGGGUUGUGCAGCACCACCAACACGCUCUCUACCCCUAGUUAUCAUCUUUCUCUCUCCCUCCGUUUCUAUCCACUUUUUCAAUAAAGUGGCUAAAUCCUGUCCAGCUACCUGUGUCUCUUCCUCUCUACCUCCCUCGGCUCCCUGAGGACCAGCAUAUGGGGGAGGGGGUAUAGGUACGGGCGGCACUGGAUGUGGUAGCCUCCGUAUCACUACCACCACCUCGUCAUCUGGGUUCUCCCGCCAUCCCUGGUCAACCAGGGAGGGGUAUAAUUCGGGUUCAGAUGGUGUCUCUGUGGGAGCCGUGGGAGUCCUCUCUGUCUGCUCCUGGCUACCCAAACAUUCAUUUUUAGUAACUCCCUUACUUUUGGCCCCCUCCGCUCUCUUUCUAGCUUCUGCCAGCCAAACCCGAGCAGUGUCAAGGCCCUCUGUGCGCUGCUUCUCUGUCUUACCCCCACUGACCUUAUGUAUUUGUUUUACCAUUAAUUGCAAUCUUUCAACAUUCAGACAUCCAUCAAAAUUGUAUUUCUUUCUCCAUUUCGGCCCAAAAUAAAUGUUCCUCUUAUCUUUUCCCAGCAUAAAACGUUCAUCUCCCGUCAAUACCGGGAUUUCCUUAGAGGAUUUACUACCCAUGUUGUUUUUUUAAAUUGUUUUAAAGUACACUCGUAUUUAUUCUGCUUCUUCUCCCAACCAAGAGUUUUAGAAAUAUUAUUCGUAAGAACCAUAAACUAUCUUUUAUUCAUAUGUGCUUUAAUUUAUACAACUUCAAACCAAAUACAAUUAGUGUCUACUCGUUGUUAAUCUUAAUGUGUAUGCUAUUUUACCGUUAUUAACCUAGAAUUUGGGGAAUAAUCAUUCGCAUGCUAUUUUACAAAUUGCUUCUAUCUCAUCGCUCAAAAAGGACAAACGGCUUUUAUCUUGCGCCUGUUGAGUCUAGCAAUAUGUUUUCGUUAUGAUUUUAACAAUGUGUUUUCGUUAUUAAACCUAUAAUUUGGGGAAUAAUUAUUCGUACGCUAUAUUACAAAUUGCUUGUAUCUCAUCGCUCAAAAAGGACAAACGGCUUUUAUCUUGCACCUGUUGAUUCUAGCAAUAUGUUUUCGUUAUUAACCUUCUAUUCGCAAUAUAGAGUUGUUCUGCUAGAAUGAUUAUACGUAUCUAUCCUAACCCGGUCUUUAUCUCGCUCAUAGACAAACACUGCAACCCGUUUUAUUUUUAGGUUUGUACUGUCUGUCUUUUUCUCGCGAUUUAUUGACAGAAUCCGCCUCACACGCAAUCCCUCAUCCCAGCAUAGUUACUCUAUCUCUCUCGAAACUUUAUCUACAGCGGGGACUGUCGAUCAGACAUUAGGUCGCAUACGUAUGCAACUAUAAACUACUUUCCAGGGGUCGUAAAGCCCUAGUUAACAGCCUAUUUAUCUGUUGCUUCAUGUAACUGUUGACACCAAUAUCUGUUUCUCACUCCGCCAUAUUAGGUCUCACUUCACCCAUAGAUAUCAGACCCAAAGCCGUAUUUAGGUACCGACUAUCCCCUUAUGGUUUUUUGACCCUUGUGCUACGUUAUCAGGUCUCACCACAAGCCCUAGUUUAGUUUUAUGCAGUGGCCACAGUUGCCCAGGGUCGAUUUCGGACCCUGCGUCGUUUUCGAAUUCGUCGUUUUGAAUUUACAACUAAUUCCUAACUUCCAUCCGCGCAGAAUACUUGAUUCCCUUUAAAACCGAUUUUUCUCCACGUGAACUUCUGAAGCCAGGUCACCCGCUAUAACAUUCAUCAAUCUCAGCGUCUCACACCCAGAGUACCUUUCACUCACAACAAUCGCUUUUGCCUUACACUCUCAACAAUCGCUUUUGCCUUACAUUCACAACACUCGCUUUUGCCUUUCAUUCACAACAAUCGCUUUCGCCUUACACUCUCAACAAUCGCUUUCUCAUCAAAUGCCAACACCCAAUUGUGUCCCUUAUUCCAUCAUGCAAUGCAGCCAUACAGGUGUAUUUCAUACAAUGCAGACACACAGGUGUAUCACCAACACCCAAAUGUGUCCCUUAUUCCAUCAUGCAAUGCAGACAUACAGGUGUAUUUCUCAUUUCAUCAAGUAAUGCAGACCUACAAUCGCUUCCUCACCAUGCAAUGCAAACCUAUAGGUAUAUCACAAAUUUCCCUAUGCAAUACAAACCUAUAGGUAUGUCACUCACCCCUUAUUUAAUGUAAUCAUACAGGUGCUAUUCCCCAAAAGUAUGAAUAAAGCUUACUAACCUUAUAAUUUGCAGCUGAGGUUUUCAAUGUUCGUUGAAUCUCGUCACCACCUCUGUCGCGUACCAAUUUGCCACCGGCCUGUAAAGAACCCACAGAAAAGGGCCAGGUCUUUGAUUUACGGAUAUUUCAUCCGCCCGUGCACGGUUUCGGUGUCUCCUUGGGACGACAGCGGCAGUUUGAAAUCCGGCUCGAAUAGGACCAAUUGUUAAAGGAAUUUUAUAUCUUGAUGAUAAUAAUCAAUAAUCAAUUCGCCUUGACUAAUGCCCAAGGUUUGUAAGACAAUGGGUUAUAAUAAUUAGGCAAGGACUCAGCUUUCUGCAAAAGGUUUCUGUAGCUUUAUUCAUGAGAACGUUCUGAGGUCAGGAUAACAAAACAGUCAUUAUAUAGUUCUUGCUUACUUACGCACAUGCAUUUACACACAAUCCGUUGGUGACCUGCAUCCCCCAUAAACUUCUCACACUGUUUAUCACUACCCAGAGCUCAGCCUGUUCUUUUCCCUCAAGGUUAGGAACUCUUUGAAGCUUUUACUCCCUUGACCAUCUGUCUCCUGGUGUCCCUCCUAAUUGCAUACAUACAUUUCUUUCCCUCUCCAGUGGUUCCUGGACUUUCCGGAACUAAUCAGACUAAUCGAUCCCUAUCUUGAUCAUUACAUUGAUUAUUCAUUAAACCUGCUGUAUGACUAAUAAUUCAUCAUGGUUUAUUGAUUAAUUUACAUUUAUUAGAUAAUUCUCUUAUCAGCAGGGCAGUACGUAUUUCCUCUCUUACAUCUGCAAGCAGAGUCUGAACAUCAGACAGGAUGGCAUUGUCUCCCUCAAUCCGUGCAAUGGCUACUGCUAUAGGUUUCAGGAGUUUCAGGCUGCUUACCACUCUCUCCCAAAAUACAUCAUCCAGGAGGAUCCUCUUGAUGGGGCUGUCCAUAUCGGCAGACUGUGAGAUGGCCAUUUCUUGGAGAGACUCCUUCCCCUCCAGGAGACUGUCAAACAUGAUGGCAACACCACCCCAACGGGUGUUGCUGGGCAGCUUCAAUGUGGUGCUCUUAUUCU
RNAcentral lists this long non-coding RNA (9501 nucleotides) under Salmo salar (Atlantic salmon). Its description in RNAcentral is "lncRNA (ENSSSAG00000103851.1)". The record is from RNAcentral. Lineage: Eukaryota; Metazoa; Chordata; Actinopteri; Salmoniformes; Salmonidae.